RNAcentral lists this ribosomal RNA (253 nucleotides) under uncultured bacterium. RNAcentral's name for it is "partial 16S ribosomal RNA". It matches the Rfam family "Bacterial small subunit ribosomal RNA", at positions 524 to 776 of the family's 1533-position model. The record is from RNAcentral.
CACGUAGGGUCCGAGCGUUGUCCGGAAUUACUGGGCGUAAAGCGUGCGCAGGCGGUUGGGUCAGUCGCUGGUGAAAGCCCCACGCUCAACGUGGGAAUGGCCGACGAGACGGCCCGACUGGAGGCAGGGAGAGGCCGGUGGAAUUCCGGGUGUAGUGGUGAAAUGCGUAGAGAUCCGGAGGAACACCAGCGGCGAAGGCGGCAUCCUGGACUGGUACUGACGCUCAUGAGCGAAAGCGUGGGGAGCGAUCCGG